CCCCACUGCUAUCGGGAUAGGACUAAGACAUGCUAGUCGAGUGACUCAGGCAAAACGAGUCACGGCACACAGCUCAGUAACACGUGGCUAAUCUGCCCUUGGGACUAGAACAACCCCGGGAAACUGGGGCUAACUCUAGAUAGGUGAAGAACUCUGGAAUGAGUCUUUGCCUAAAUAGGUUCACGUUAUCCUCGUGAACUUGCCCAAGGAUGAGGCCGCGACCGAUCAGGUUGUUGGCGAGGUAAUGGCUCACCAAGCCUUUUACCGGUGCGGGCCGUGGGAGCGGGAGCCCGGAGAUGGGUACUGAGACAAGGACCCAGGCCCUACGGGGCGCAGCAGUCGCGAAACCUUUGCAAUACACGAAAGUGUGACAGGGCUAUCCCGAGUGCCAUCCGCUGAGGAAGGCUUUUACCCAGUCUAGAACGCUGGGGGAAUAAGGAGAGGGCAAGUCUGGUGUCAGCCGCCGCGGUAAUACCAGCUCUCCGAGUGGUGUGGAUGUUUAUUGGGCCUAAAGCAUCCGUAGCUGGCUAGGUAAGUCCCUUGUUAAAUCCACCGAAUUAAUCGUUGGAUCGCGGGGGAUACUGCUUGGCUAGGGGACGAGAGAGGCAGACGGUAUUCUCGGGGUAGGGGUGAAAUCCUAUAAUCCCGGGAAGACCACCAGUGGCGAAGGCUGUCUACUAGAACGCGCCCGACGGUGAGGGAUGAAAGCUGGGGGAGCGAACCGGAUUAGAUACCCGGGUAGUCCCAGCUGUAAACGAUGCAGACUAGGUGUUUGAACGGCCACGUGCCGUUCUAGUGCCGCAGGGAAGCUGUUAAGUCUGCCGCCUGGGGAGUACGAUCGCAAGAUUGAAACUUAAAGGAAUUGGCGGGGGAGCACCACAAGGGGUGAAGCUUGCGGUUU
This 901-nucleotide ribosomal RNA is filed under the name uncultured archaeon. RNAcentral's name for it is "bacterial SSU rRNA". It matches the Rfam family "Archaeal small subunit ribosomal RNA", at positions 21 to 903 of the family's 1478-position model. The record is from RNAcentral.